AUCUACAGUUUUUCAUUCUUCAGAGAAUACAAAAAUCAAAAUUAGGUCAGUUCAUCUUCUUUAUUCAAAAUCGAGAUCUUCUUCUCCUAAAUCGAAAAACGAAAUCAAAAAACAAACCAGAUCUGUUUCAUCUUCGUCAAAACCAAAACCAGGCAUCUUCUUCAUGAGAUUCAAUUGAAAGUUUCCAAUCGAAAAACAAAAUCAAAACCAAAAAUGGUUACCAAUCGAAAAAUUAAACAAAUAAUUACGGAAGUAAUUGUGGAAGAAAGUGCUUCACGCUCAAAAAGUAGAAGAAAAAUUGUUGAUGAUUCAAACAACAAAAAGAAAAGCCUGCUUCUAAUUCACCAACAAUACAUAAUAUAUCCAACAACAGUUUAUGUUUCUUUUUUAUGUAUCACAUGCUUUUAUGCUUUCAUGUAUUACAUAAGCUUUGGUGCAGGGUUCCUUGGUUCUUCAUGAUACGCCUGCAUGGUUGGGAUCAGUUGGGAAGGCUUGGCAGAUGGAUCUAGAGGGGCCAUCAAGCACCGUAGAUGGAGGGGAAUCUGCGGUAUUCUGGGUAGUAUUGGCUAGGUGAGGCUGUUGAUGAGGAGAUUAAGAAACUGAAAUUAAAAGAUAAUGGGGCAAAUCAAGUAGUAGGUUCUGCUACUGGGGUGCUACUCCAUUGCUGACCCUGAAGCAAAAUCUGAAAUCUCCCACUCUAACUUAAAAUGACAUGGGUGCUGAGAAUAACUAGUUGAGAAGAGCUCUAUUACGAUCUGAAUGGAUGCAUUCAUGGACAGUUGAAAUCCUUUUUAUAUUCAGUGUUUUUCUUUCUUCUAUAUUAGUUUCUUGGAACUGAGAUUUGCUGGUUGGUCUCAAUUUGUUAUUUACUGUUUCCUUGUAUAUAUAUCUGGAGACUGG
This is a long non-coding RNA of Papaver somniferum (opium poppy), 900 nucleotides long. RefSeq lists it as uncharacterized. Lineage: Eukaryota; Viridiplantae; Streptophyta; Magnoliopsida; Ranunculales; Papaveraceae. The record is from RefSeq and is a predicted model, not a curated record. The transcript is spliced from 3 exons.